CACGUAGGGUGCGAGCGUUGUCCGGAAUUAUUGGGCGUAAAGAGCUCGUAGGCGGUGUGUCGCGUCGGCCGUGAAAACCUGCAGCUUAACUGUGGGCUUGCGGUCGAUACGGGCAUCACUGGAGUUCGGCAGGGGAGACUGGAAUUCCUGGUGUAGCGGUGAAAUGCGCAGAUAUCAGGAAGAACACCCGUGGCGAAGGCGGCUUUCUGGGACGGUACUGACGCUGAGACGCGAAAGCGUGGGGAGCGAACAGG
Molecule: ribosomal RNA, 254 nt
Filed under: uncultured bacterium
Lineage: Bacteria
Description: partial 16S ribosomal RNA
Rfam family: Bacterial small subunit ribosomal RNA
Source: RNAcentral